RNAcentral lists this long non-coding RNA (874 nucleotides) under Bos taurus (domestic cattle). RNAcentral describes it as "long non-coding RNA NONBTAT025558". The record is from RNAcentral. Lineage: Eukaryota; Metazoa; Chordata; Mammalia; Artiodactyla; Bovidae.
UUAUUAACUUUUUACUAAAAUGUGAUUAAAUGUAGACACUAUAAUCAAUUCAUAGUUAGUAUCCACAAUAACUACAUAUAUGUGUACAUAAACCAAAACAUUUAUUUAGAAAAUACAAAAAAUUACUGUUUGUCUUGCUCUUUCUUCAGACUAUCCUUUCAAUUUUCAAUAGUGCCACAUAAUUUUAUAACUAAUUUUUAUUACAUCUGAACACCUCAAAGAGCUGUAGUUUUGAAAUAAAUUUUGCUAUGAUUAAAGAGAGAAAAUCUAUUCAGAAAGUACAGAAUACACGAAUUUACGGUACUUAUCCAAUUACCACCAGCAUAUAAAUUAUUUUGUAAAGUUAUUUCUUACACACAGGAUGUAAAAUGCAAAAAAAAAAAAAAAAUGGAAUUUGUAUUCAAAACAAACAGAAGCAACACUGGCUCCUAUAUGCUAAAAAUAUAAAACAGAUUUUUUUUUUUAAGCAUUCUAGAUACAAAUAUUAACUGUAUGGGCUGAGAACUUUUAAUUUCAAUAUAAUUCAACAAGGUACACAAGUAGAGCUCUAUAAAUAUAUCCCCUAUAAUAACCAUAUGCAAAAUCAUUUUAUCACAAAUACUACCAAACCCUCUGAAAAACAUAAACUACAAACACAUUUUUAAAGAAAUUCUGUUUUAACAACUACAAAAGAAUAUCAAUAAAGCUAUUUGGCUUUAAAAAACGAAGGGCAGUGUAAUGUAAAUCCCGUACUGAGAAAAUGUUUUCUGAGAAUGCAGUCUUGAGUUUAAUACAAGGUACUAAACAUUUUCAAAAAUAAACAAGACUUAUUCUAAUACCAUUUAAAGUCUUGAACAAAAGCUCUAAAAAGAAACCACUAAGUAACAGAUGAAAA